UGCUCUGGGGAAAGUGGUGCAUUUGCGAGUGGAGUGCGCCGAGGUGGUCGGAACAGCGCCAUGAUCUCAGCUUUGAGGCCAGCCCUUCGGGGACUGGUACCCGGGCUGGGGGAUUGUUGUUUGCUCUGAUUAAACAGGGGAGUGGUUAUCGGGCUCGGUUGGGUGCCGAGCUGGCAGUCGGUGGCGGUCGCAUGCGACACGUGCCAGCGGUCAGUUCGGUCCUGGUCGAGCUCUCAAAACCCCGUCCUCGGUGUAAAAGCUGGUCAUCUGUCCGACCCGUCUUGAAACACGGACCAAGGAGUUUAGCGUGUGCGCGAGUCAUUGGGUGUUCAAAACUCAGAGGCGCAAUGAAAGUGAAGGUGUCCCUUGUGGAGCUGAUGUGUGACCGGGGCCACCGCGGUGGCUCCGAGCAACAUAGUCCCGUCCCGAUCGCAUGCGAUGGGGCGGAGACAGAGCGUACGCGCUGAGACCCGAAAGAUGGUGAACUAUUCCUGAGCAGGACGAAGCCAGAGGAAACUCUGGUGGAAGUCCGAAGCGAUUCUGACGUGCAAAUCGAUCGUCUGACUUGGGUAUAGGGGCGAAAGACUAAUCGAACC
Molecule: ribosomal RNA, 596 nt
Filed under: Rotylenchulus sp. Viljoenskroon
Lineage: Eukaryota; Metazoa; Nematoda; Chromadorea; Rhabditida; Hoplolaimidae
Description: eukaryotic LSU rRNA
Rfam family: Eukaryotic large subunit ribosomal RNA
Source: RNAcentral